Molecule: unclassified non-coding RNA, 1635 nt
Filed under: Arabidopsis thaliana (thale cress)
Lineage: Eukaryota; Viridiplantae; Streptophyta; Magnoliopsida; Brassicales; Brassicaceae
Source: RNAcentral
CUGAAAGAUACAUGGAGCAUCAAGUGAAUUCCUCCAAAGAAACAGAUCAUUGGGAAGAGCCGUUGUCUGAAGGAUGAAUUGAUUUUAAUUUCGUUUGCAAUUUUUGCAACCAGUUUCUGAAGCAAGAGCCUCAUGAAUUCCUGGGGACCAUGAAACAAGAGGGAACCCUACUUUUAAAAGGAAAGAAACAUUGGCAAUCCUCAUCUCUGGAUUUCUAUCAAAUUUGUUUUUGUUCCUUUCUUCUGUGGUAUUGAGGGUUUUGUACUUCCGCUGGAUUACGAGAGGGCACUCAAGUUUUCAAAGGUAUGAAAUCAAGCCUAGAAUUUUUACUCUUAAUUGAAUUCAAUCAUUGUUCUGUUUUGGUUUUGUAUCUUCUUUAUCCAUAAUUACAGAGGCGAAUGAAAAGAUUUAGGUGUUUUUGGUGAGGCAUAAUGGCUUCACAUUAUUAAUGCAGGUUUUGACUGGUUAGCGUCAUAAAGGUAAUAGUCUUGGUCAUCGUGAUAUGCCAUUAGAAUUUGAUGCUUCUCUGAGGUAUAGAAUAUUUGGUGAAAAACUCUCGCGGUUAUUUUUUAUUAUGUUAGCAUUCGGUGUUUCAAGAGUACAUUGAUGAAGUUUGCGCCUGAAUGGGAAGAAUAAUUUCUCACAUCCAAUGUGUGAUGGCUGCUAUAGUUAUGAGACAAGUUCUUAAACAGACCGUAAAAGAAGGGAAUGCAUCAACGACCUUUUAGCAUGAAUAGUUAGUCUCCCGGAUGAUUAGGAUUGAUCAUAGUAGAGAAGAUAUGAGAAGUUUGAUGUUCCAAUGGCCUACACUAUAGAGCAACAAUUAUUGAUGUUGGAAUAGCUUGGUCUGCAAGUUUUUACCGCUACCAUUUGUUCUUGACUUCUUUCAUGGGUUUUGGUUAGUAUAUGCAGGGAUUUGUUCUUCGGUUGGUUUACAAGAGGGAACUUAACUAUGAAAAAGGGAAGAAGCUUGGGGAAAAAAAGAACAAGAGAAGAUCAUGAUCAGCUAAAGUUGAGUAAUAUUGAUUUUUUUAAUGAAUUAUGUUACUAUUCUGCAUCGUCUCUCCAUUUGAAUCUUGAGAUUGAUUUAAGUGUAUUAAAAUGUGUUACAUUGGGACCUCAGAUAGAGUAUACUGGAGGGAGCUACUGAUUCAGAAGAUGCUCAUCACAAAGACUUCCUUUACGCUUGUUAGACAAUAGACACCAAUUUUCUUUUCUUUCAGUUUAAUUUUCUUAUUUGUUUGGUUGUCGGAUCAGGUUAAAAGAUACCACGAACUCUCCUAGAAAACCGGAGUAUAUUGCAGUAGCAGGAGCAGAUUGAUGAUUGUGAAGCAUGAACACGAGUAUUGGAAAUAUGUAGAGGAAGGUUAAACCUGAGAGAGACACUACUUUGCCAACCGAGAUAUGCCAGAAACUUGAAGACCAUUUGAGCUAGUGAGAUCAAUUAGAGGACCAGAUUCAUCCAAUCAUUGAUAAGAGCCAGUACCAACCUGAUAAACGAGAUACAGCAACAUCUAUGUCAGCCCACAAAGCACGAAGAGUACUUGAUCAACCUCUUCCACAUCCAGUUUCCCGAACCCGGAAAAUCUGCAUCCCAAAACAAAAUAUAGCUGCAUUCAUGCAUACAUCCAUACA